UACAGAGGGUGCGAGCGUUAAUCGGAAUUACUGGGCGUAAAGCGCGCGUAGGCGGCUUCGCAAGUCGGGUGUGAAAUCCCCAAGCUCAACUUGGGAACUGCAUUCGAGACUGCGUUGCUAGAGUAUGGGAGAGGGAAGUGGAAUUUCAGGUGUAGCGGUGAAAUGCGUAGAUAUCUGAAGGAACAUCAGUGGCGAAAGCGACUUCCUGGACCAAUACUGACGCUCAUGUGCGAAAGCGUGGGAGCAAACAGG
RNAcentral lists this ribosomal RNA (252 nucleotides) under uncultured bacterium. RNAcentral's name for it is "partial 16S ribosomal RNA". It matches the Rfam family "Bacterial small subunit ribosomal RNA", at positions 524 to 776 of the family's 1533-position model. The record is from RNAcentral.